RNAcentral lists this ribosomal RNA (1446 nucleotides) under bacterium. RNAcentral describes it as "bacterial SSU rRNA". It matches the Rfam family "Bacterial small subunit ribosomal RNA". The record is from RNAcentral.
ACAAUUGCGCGGGCCUAAAAAUGCAAGUCGAGCGGUAGCACAGAGAGCUUGCUCUCGGGUGACGAGCGGCGGACGGGUGAGUAAUGUCUGGGAAACUGCCUGAUGGAGGGGGAUAACUACUGGAAACGGUAGCUAAUACCGCAUAAUGUCGCAAGACCAAAGAGGGGGACCUUCGGGCCUCUUGCCAUCAGAUGUGCCCAGAUGGGAUUAGCUAGUAGGUGGGGUAACGGCUCACCUAGGCGACGAUCCCUAGCUGGUCUGAGAGGAUGACCAGCCACACUGGAACUGAGACACGGUCCAGACUCCUACGGGAGGCAGCAGUGGGGAAUAUUGCACAAUGGGCGCAAGCCUGAUGCAGCCAUGCCGCGUGUAUGAAGAAGGCCUUCGGGUUGUAAAGUACUUUCAGCGGGGAGGAAGGUGUUGAGGUUAAUAACCUCAGCAAUUGACGUUACCCGCAGAAGAAGCACCGGCUAACUCCGUGCCAGCAGCCGCGGUAAUACGGAGGGUGCAAGCGUUAAUCGGAAUUACUGGGCGUAAAGCGCACGCAGGCGGUCUGUCAAGUCGGAUGUGAAAUCCCCGGGCUCAACCUGGGAACUGCAUUCGAAACUGGCAGGCUAGAGUCUUGUAGAGGGGGGUAGAAUUCCAGGUGUAGCGGUGAAAUGCGUAGAGAUCUGGAGGAAUACCGGUGGCGAAGGCGGCCCCCUGGACAAAGACUGACGCUCAGGUGCGAAAGCGUGGGGAGCAAACAGGAUUAGAUACCCUGGUAGUCCACGCCGUAAACGAUGUCGACUUGGAGGUUGUKCCCUUGAGGMGUGGCUUCCGGAGCUAACGCGUUAAGUCGACCGCCUGGGGAGUACGGCCGCAAGGUUAAAACUCAAAUGAAUUGACGGGGGCCCGCACAAGCGGUGGAGCAUGUGGUUUAAUUCGAUGCAACGCGAAGAACCUUACCUACUCUUGACAUCCAGAGAACUUUCCAGAGAUGGAUUGGUGCCUUCGGGAACUCUGAGACAGGUGCUGCAUGGCUGUCGUCAGCUCGUGUUGUGAAAUGUUGGGUUAAGUCCCGCAACGAGCGCAACCCUUAUCCUUUGUUGCCAGCGGUCCGGCCGGGAACUCAAAGGAGACUGCCAGUGAUAAACUGGAGGAAGGUGGGGAUGACGUCAAGUCAUCAUGGCCCUUACGAGUAGGGCUACACACGUGCUACAAUGGCGCAUACAAAGAGAAGCGACCUCGCGAGAGCAAGCGGACCUCAUAAAGUGCGUCGUAGUCCGGAUUGGAGUCUGCAACUCGACUCCAUGAAGUCGGAAUCGCUAGUAAUCGUAGAUCAGAAUGCUACGGUGAAUACGUUCCCGGGCCUUGUACACACCGCCCGUCACACCAUGGGAGUGGGUUGCAAAAGAAGUAGGUAGCUUAACCUUCGGGAGGGCGCUACCACUUUUGAUAGUGGGA